This 253-nucleotide ribosomal RNA is filed under the name uncultured bacterium. RNAcentral's name for it is "partial 16S ribosomal RNA". It matches the Rfam family "Bacterial small subunit ribosomal RNA", at positions 524 to 776 of the family's 1533-position model. The record is from RNAcentral.
GACGAACCGUGCGAACGUUAUUCGGAAUCACUGGGCUUAAAGGGCGCGUAGGCGGGCCCUCAAGUCAGGGGUGAAAUCCUCCGGCUCAACCGGGGAAGUGCCUCUGAUACUGGGGGCCUCGAGGGAGGCAGGGGCGUGCGGAACUUCCGGUGGAGCGGUGAAAUGCGUAGAUAUCGGAAGGAACACCGGUGGCGAAAGCGGCGCGCUGGACCUCUUCUGACGCUGAGGCGCGAAAGCCAGGGGAGCAAACGGG